This 253-nucleotide ribosomal RNA is filed under the name uncultured bacterium. Its description in RNAcentral is "partial 16S ribosomal RNA". It matches the Rfam family "Bacterial small subunit ribosomal RNA", at positions 524 to 776 of the family's 1533-position model. The record is from RNAcentral.
UACGUAGGGUGCGAGCGUUAAUCGGAAUUACUGGGCGUAAAGCGCACGUAGGCGGCUUGGUAUGUCGGGUGUGAAAUCCCCGGGCUCAACCUGGGAACUGCAUCCGAAACUGCCUUGCUAGAGUAUGGGAGAGGGAAGUGGAAUUUCCGGUGUAGCGGUGAAAUGCGUAGAUAUCGGAAGGAACAUCAGUGGCGAAGGCGACUUCCUGGACCAAUACUGACGCUCAGGUGCGAAAGCGUGGGGAGCAAACAGG